GGGCUGAAGUGGGGGUGCUCGGCAUGAGGCCGGGCUGAGAAAGGGCGGUGCCCUUACCCUUCGAACCUGACGUGGGUAAUCCCACCGUAGGGAACUUCGGCCGGAGUAUG
Molecule: non-coding RNA, 110 nt
Filed under: Winmispira thermophila
Lineage: Bacteria; Pseudomonadati; Spirochaetota; Spirochaetia; Winmispirales; Winmispiraceae
Also listed under: 1 other name
Description: Spirochaeta thermophila TPP sequence
Rfam family: TPP riboswitch aptamer (THI element)
About the family: Vitamin B(1) in its active form thiamin pyrophosphate (TPP) is an essential coenzyme that is synthesised by coupling of pyrimidine and thiazole moieties in bacteria. The previously detected thiamin-regulatory element, thi box was extended, resulting in a new, highly conserved RNA secondary structure, the THI element, which is widely distributed in eubacteria and also occurs in some archaea. Analysis of operon structures identified a large number of new candidate thiamin-regulated genes, mostly transporters, in various prokaryotic organisms.
Source: RNAcentral